RNAcentral lists this long non-coding RNA (1583 nucleotides) under Sus scrofa (pig). RNAcentral's name for it is "lncRNA (ENSSSCG00060074358.1)". The record is from RNAcentral. Lineage: Eukaryota; Metazoa; Chordata; Mammalia; Artiodactyla; Suidae.
GCCCCGUCCCUCUGGGCACCAAGGAGCUUUCCCGGGAAGCGGGGACGGAAGCCGACUGGAGGGAGGAAGGACGAGGGGCGGAGGGCCCUGAAGUGGGGCAGGGCCUGGAGGGCUCCCACUGUGCCUGGCCACUACUAUUUGCAGGGUGGGGAUGGGGCCGGGACUUAGCUGCAGCAGUUCUGAAAAUACGAAUGGACCACAGCGGCUGAAGGGACAGUCGGUGGCAGACUGGAAUCUGGAAUGUGGAAGGCUGGCUCUCAUAAAUGAUUGUGUGAUCCCAGAGUUUCCCCGGAUCAUCUUCAGCCUGGAAUUCAGAACCAUAAAUAUUGAGCUGGAAGGACCUGCUGGGAUCACCCGGCCCCAGAUGUGGUGGCAGGGAUGUCACUGUGCAGUAAGAGGGGAUAAUGGCACUUGUUAUUAUAAAAGCUCGAACUGGGGCCCAGAAAGGGACAGCAACUGGCCAAGACACACAGCACGCUGGUCGGGGGCCCUGGACCAGCGCUGUCAUCGUUCCUGUGCGCACAGACCUCGGCCGGGUUCCGUGACUCCGCUCCGCUUUCUCACCCUUACAACUUCCAGGUGAGCAAGACAGGAACAGGCUGUGUUGCUGCAUUUCUGACAUAAAAAGAAACAUGCUUUUAAGGAUAUUUAAGUCUCUUCAGAUGGUGACUCCUGCAGCCUGGAUGAAAGCGCCUUGAUUUCCUCCCAGGGAGGGUGUCUGUGCAUACCUGGGAUCGUACCCUUUCCUUUUGAUCCUGCCUCUUAGUGAGUCCCCUUUUGAGAUCAAAGCUGGCAAGGUGGACAGGCCCCUUUGAAGUUUCCUGGCGCUUCUGAGACGCAGGUCCUGGCAGCCACAGAGUUUUGCUCCAAAUGAAGAGGUUGGCGGGUGGAGCCCCAAGGGCUCUGAGCAGGGCUCUUACCUUUAAAAUAUUCCUCCUUGGAAGCACGCAUUUUCCAUGCCUGGAAUGACCACGUGGAGGGGGCGCGUGUGGGGUCUGCUUGUCCACCCCUCACUCCCCAAAUUUCCUCUGAAAAUGACCCUCUCCCCAGUCCAGUGAUCCUGUUGGGACUGUAAGUAUGGCAGUGGACAUAUGACCCACGCCAGCCAAUCAGCAUCAUCCAGCCUCUGGACCAUGACUAGCCCAAAGAUGAACAUAUGAUCCAGACCAGCCAGUCAGGACUGCCUAGCCUUUGAGAUAUUGACUAGCAUGAGAUGGGCACAUGAUCCAGACCAGCCAAUCAGGACUGCCCAGUCUCUGAAACAUUGACCAGCCCAGAGAUGGACAAAUAACACAAGCCACCAACCUGAGUCCUGUGGGCAAUUUAGUUUAUUGAAAAGAAGGUUGCUUUAUGCCUGGAGCUUUUUACGGCUAUUUUUCUUCACCUGGAGAGACAGUCUACCUGUGAGUAAUGCUACACAAGGGAAAGCAGAGCAGAGAGGGAGAGAGGGGUGCUUCUAAUAACUUUGUCUAACCUCCUGGAUCCAGCUAUGCCUGAAGCUCAUCCACCUUACAUUUUCCAAUUCUAUGAUUUAAUCGGUCAUCUUAUUUCUUUGGGCAAGGUGUCUGUCACUUCCAUAUAAG